UACGGAGGGUGCGAGCGUUGUCCGGAAUCACUGGGCGUAAAGGGCGCGUAGGUGGCGCUCCAAGUCCGUGGUGAAAGCUCGAUGCUCAACAUCGAGUCGGCCACGGAGACUGGAGGGCUCGAGCACUGUAGGGGCAGAUGGAAUUCCGGGUGUAGCGGUGGAAUGCGUAGAGAUCCGGAAGAACACCGGUGGCGAAGGCGGUCUGCUGGGCAGUUGCUGACACUGAGGCGCGACAGCGUGGGGAGCAAACAGG
This 253-nucleotide ribosomal RNA is filed under the name uncultured bacterium. RNAcentral describes it as "partial 16S ribosomal RNA". It matches the Rfam family "Bacterial small subunit ribosomal RNA", at positions 524 to 776 of the family's 1533-position model. The record is from RNAcentral.